CAGGCUCCGUGGAAGGAAGGUCCUGCCCCGUGUCUCCAUCCCGUCUCCCUGGGCCUGGGCGCUCAGACCAGGUUGUACUCCUUGAGGUUGAGCUGCAGGAUGGUGUCCUUCACGGCCGCGAACACGAAGCGGAUGUUCUCCGUGUCGGUGGCACACGUGAAGGCAGGUCCUUCUUGUUGAGGAAGAGGAUGACGGAGGAGUUCUGGAACCAGGGGACUUGGUCGUAUUCGCUGAGGGCGACGAGAAACAUGAUGGAUGUCACGUUCUCAAAGCAGUGGAUCCACUUCCUCCGCUCCGACCGCUGGCCCCCCACAUCCACCAUCCUGAAAGGACACAGCG
RNAcentral lists this long non-coding RNA (339 nucleotides) under Homo sapiens (human). RNAcentral describes it as "long non-coding RNA NONHSAT180080.1". The record is from RNAcentral. Lineage: Eukaryota; Metazoa; Chordata; Mammalia; Primates; Hominidae.